RNAcentral lists this ribosomal RNA (370 nucleotides) under uncultured organism. RNAcentral describes it as "bacterial SSU rRNA". It matches the Rfam family "Bacterial small subunit ribosomal RNA", at positions 527 to 896 of the family's 1533-position model. The record is from RNAcentral.
GUAGGGUGCGAGCGUUAAUCGGAAUUACUGGGCGUAAAGCGUGCGCAGGCGGUUUGUAAGACAGGCGUGAAAUCCCCGGGCUCAACCUGGGAACUGCGCUUGUGACUGCAAGGCUAGAGUACGGCAGAGGGGGGUGGAAUUCCACGUGUAGCAGUGAAAUGCGUAGAGAUGUGGAGGAACACCAAUGGCGAAGGCAGCCCCCUGGGUCGAUACUGACGCUCAUGCACGAAAGCGUGGGUAGCAAACAGGAUUAGAUACCCUGGUAGUCCACGCCCUAAACGAUGUCAACUAGGUGUUGGGUGGGUAAAACCAUUUAGUACCGGAGCUAACGCGUGAAGUUGACCGCCUGGGGAGUACGGCCGCAAGGUUA